GGGAGAACAGACUUGAGAUUUGCAUGGUUGAAAUAUCCGGCGAUAAUAAAAAGUCUAUCAGGGUGUGCAUUUUUCAGCUCGCUAAUAGGUCUGUAGAGCUCACACAGAACCUCCUGAAUAUGGUGGUAAAUUCACGUGGUAAAUAAAAUGGCCUGCAUCUGACAGUCACAAACUCCAUUAGCGAUCAACAGUAGUUAGAAACAAGCACAGAUUCCUUGCACCAUUCUGUGUUGAUGUAAAAACCAAUGGCGGCGUCCGGAACUCUGUCCGUAAAAACAAAGACGCAGCAGUCUCUGUACUCUGUAGUCCAGCUUAUUGCCCAGGGAGCAGACAUUUGAUAGAAGUAUAGAGGGGAGUGCCGGCUGGCUAGGGUUUGUUUUUAGCCUAGCACAGACACCUGCCCUCUUGCCGUGCUUCCGCUUUCUCACACACCACUUCCGUCGGGUCCUCUCCCGGCUACUGGCAUCGGGCGACACCAAGGGCUCUGGGUCUGGUCUCCGCAGCAAGCCGAGAUCGUGAAGCUUUUUUCAUAGAUCAUCAUGCACGUUGGCUGGUGCAUGAAUUCCAUAUCCUAGUAGUGUCUGGCGGUCGUACACAUGAACAUCGCUGUAUCUGGUAUCCAUAUGCUGUGGUAGUUGGGUUUAUUGCUGCUGUCGCUGUCACAUGUACUCAGGAGCUCAUACUAACUCCACAGAUUUACUGUCUUUAUUUUUGGCAGCAGAACAUUUUUGGCGGGUAAUAGCAGUGGCUCCUGAACAAAGAUCCUCCUGAGCACAGCUUCAACCAGAACAUGGUCCUGCUCAACCAGCAUCUACGCUCAUGAGCCGCAGCUGGUCCUGUCUAACUUCAAAGCAUACAGCUGUGGAAGAGGAAUGAUUUAGAAUCACACUAUCUGGCCUCACCCACAAGAGGAUGGAUUUCCUUUUGAGUCUGGUUCCUCUCGAGGUUUCUUCCUCAUGUACUCUCAGGGAGUUUUUCCUCGCCACUGUCACCUCUGGCUUGUUCAUUAGGGACCGAAAUUUACAAACUGCUGCCAAAAUGAAAGAAUAAAAUUGGAACAAAAAUAGGAUAAAGGGCUAAAACAACUCAAUUAAAAAAAACAGUUAAUAAAAAAUGUAAUUAAAUUUAGAUGGUGUGAUAAUUGAAUUAUAGAAACUGGAAAAUUUCAUUUGUCUUUUAUUUUUUUGGUCUUAAAUACCCUAUUUUUUUCUUUUCAAAAAAUGAUAUAACAAAAUAAAAGUAAGGAAAACCAUAUGUAACCCGGUGGGAGUUAUAAAGGUUAAAUUUCCUAGGGGUGUGUCCUUGCCUUAUUAUUUUCCCGGUCAUGCAAUGGGUAAAUUAUGUAUUUUCAUUGUAUGUGAUGAUCAAUGUUCUGUUUUACGUGCAAGUUAAAAUAAGUGUAAUAUAAUGAUGUUCAUGUGUAAAAAAUUUGUGAGCGUGUAUGAAAACUUUUCACAUGAUUAAUAUUGACCGGUAAGGAUCAGGGGAAAGGUAAAUGACAGAAUGUAAGACCAGAUGCACAAGGUGAACAUGCUGUUUUUUGGGUGUGAUUGGUUUUCCUUUAUUUUCCCUGCUUCUGCCAUUCGCGGAGGACAGAUAGGACAAAGUCUAAAAGGACUAUCGCGGAAAUUGAUACCUUUUAUGCAUGUUUUUUCUUUGUUAUCCCAGAGCUAACAGAGUUUUGUGUGCACAAGGACAGACAAUGUAAUGUGAGGACUAUUAUAGAGCAGACUAGUUUAAGAUCUGGUCCAUGGAACUGUAAGCGGAGUUAGCCACAAGCUAAUUUGCAUUGGAUUGUACUGGCGGUAUCACAUUCAAACAUUUCGGGAACAUUUCAUUGCUAGCUAAAUGUCAGGCUGGCCGAGAAGCUCCAGGGGCUGUUGCACCAAGGAGUGUGAUGUGCGAGUUUGCAGUAAAGAGACCAGAGUCUCCGAAGGAUAUUUUACGAGUUCAUCGAACUAACGUGAGUGAGCUAUUUGUUCUAAUUUUUUUUUUAUUUGCAUGACGCGGCCAUUUUAGGCCUCACCUCUCACGAGCUUCGUCUCUGGCCUGCAGCAUAUAUGAUAAUUUGUGUUUUCUGAUAGACUUGAGUGCUGGCUUAGUUUAAAUUUCAAAGAAAGGCCCUAUAGAUAGGUUAGUGUGUACAGAAAACACUGGGAUCCAUGUAUGUUUUGGUUUAGGCAUGAAUAAUUCACUGUGUUUGUGUUUAACCAUUUGACAGGUACUGUGUGCAACGUUGUUGUUUGGUUUUUUUUUGGCACAAAAAACAAUAUUAUGUUUAAGUAUUUAUGUUAUCCUCACUGAAUUCAUCCCUUUAUUGAUAUUUCAAGUGUUAUACGGUGUGUAGUACUUCAUUUAGAGUCAAUGAUUUCAGUGUUGUCACUGAGCAGUAAUAGAACUGUAGAUACUAAAGUACAUAUUAUAAUAUACCAGUGAAAACAAGUUGAGAGUUCAAGGGCUCAUAAUUAUGAAUUCACUUUGGUAGUUAGCUAUAGAUAAUUCAUUAAGGGAACAUACGGUUGACCUUUGGUUGAAGACUGUAGGUUUGGAAACCGGGUAAGAGGACCCAGGACGCCCCCUGUAGUGUUGGGUAAAGGGCAAAAGGGGCGUUACAUAAAUGGAGGCACAGCUGGGAUAAUUUUCUUUAAAUGUUUUGCUAAGUGCUAUUUACAGAGCUUACUUUAAACUCAUUCAAAUAUGGCUAGCCUCAACUUGUUUGUUGAAGAACUUCAGGUAGGAAAUACCACACAGCCAAAAACAAAUGGAUGGUGCUAUGUGAAUGUAGAGAGUCAGUGAAUUCACCAAUCAUUCCCCCUGAUGUCAUGCCCUCUGGUAAGCCUGGGCCUUGGCUGCUCAUCACACUGUAUAAGACCGUGCCCGAGUCUAGUGAGUUUUGUGCUCGGUUGUGUGACUUCUUGCUAGCUGAACAAAAGACUAUGGAUGAUCUAAAACAUUGGUAGGGGCCCGUGGUUCUUCAACAGAGUCAAUCAUUCACGCAAUGGGUGACGUAUUAGAGAAAACUGUGUGGUCACCUGGUGGGAACAAUGGGUAUAGACGCUUGCAUGCAUUUUCUGGUAUUUUGCCUACACCUUCAGGCGAAGAACCAUUUGAACACUGGAUCAAACAGUUUAAGCUGAUCAUUGAGGAGAGUGACUUGUCUGACAAGGAGAAAAGAUGAAGGAUUAUGGAAAACCUCAAAGGUCCUGCACUAGAGACUGUAAAAGUGGCUCAUACUGCUAAUGGUGAUGUCAGUCCCAACAAAUAUCUAAAAGCUUUAGAAAAUGCUUUUGGAACUGCCAGAUCUGGUGAGAUCUUCCUUUCAUCUUAUGCAGCAAAAGUCGGGAGAGAAACUGUCUGACUUUUUAAGAAGGUUAGAGCAGUUACUGUCUAAGUUUGUACAAAGGGUUGGUAUUGCAGAGUAUGAAGCAACUAGGGUCAGUCUAGAACAACUGAUUCGAGGUGCUGUGGCAUCAGACAUAAUGUUGAUCCAGCUCAGGUUGAGAGAAAAGAGAUCUAACCCCCCUAACUUUUUAGAUUUGCUGACUGAGAUCCGUAUUGAAGAGGAAUAUGAAACCUCCCGGGUGAAACUGAGAGCAUCAGUACGAAAUGUCAGUACUGACCCAGACAUGACAGUACUGAUAGUCAGAACAAAGACAUUCAUGCCCUGAAAAAGGAAAUAAAGGAACUGAAGUCAGUGGUAGCUGCACCAUUGAUGCCACAGUACCAAAGGGUAAGGUUCUGAUGCCUGAACCUGACAAUACAGAACUGGAUUUGUUAAAGAAACAAAUGAAAAGUCUUUAACAGAAGCUGAUGGUGCAAAACAACCACACCUCUAAUCACCCAGCUAUUGCACUGCCAGUUGAUAUUUAAAUUUUUUCAAUUUUCAGUUUCAAUUUUAUUUGUGCUUUUAACAAAGAGCAUUGUCUCAAAGCAGCUUUACAUAAGAAACAACAUAAGAAACAACAAACAGACAAACAGUCCUAGAUGUUAUCCCAAGUGAGCAAGCCUGAGGUGACUGAGGCGACUGUGGCAAGGAAAAACUCCCUUAGAUGGUAUGAGGAAGAAACCUUGAGAGGAACCAGACUCAAAAGGGAACCCAUCCUCAUUUGGGUGACACCGGAGAGUGUGAUAUGAAAAAUGUCUUUUGUGCAUUUAUGUAUAGUCAAUUGUGUGAUGCCAAUACAGCAUGUGUAGAAUGUUGUGUAAAUUAAUAAGGAGGUUGUUGUCAUCCACAUAGGGUUGGCAGUGUUGCUUUGAAUACCCCAGUCCUCACAAAGCAGAACCCGGCUGGAGCUGGUCCAUCUCUGGAUGUCACUGGAGCCGGCACAGUCUCUCUAUGCCUCGGGAUGGGUAGAAGAAGGGAAACAAGUGGAAAGUAAUUAGUGGAGCUACUGUUCAUAAUAUUAGCAGCACUAGAUGAUAAUGUGCAUUUAAUCAGAUGUACUGGAGUACAAGGUUAUCGGAUGUAUUAAAUGUAUGCCUGGCUAAAGAGAUAUGUAUUUAGUCUACAUUUGAACUGGGAGACUGUGUCUGAGCCCGAACACUGUCAGGAAGACUAUUCCAAAGUUUAGGAACUAAGUACGAAAACGCUCUACCUCCUUUUGUAGACUUUGAUAUUCUGGGAACUACAAGAAGUCCAGAGUUUUGUGAUCUUAAAGAGGUGGAUUAUAAUAUGUUAGAAGACUGGCUAGAUAGGUCGGAGCUAAACCAUUUAGAGCCUUGAACGUAAGUAGUGAUAGUUUAUAGUCAACUCUAAACAUAACAGAUAUGUCUAGGGAUAUUGCCCGAAGAGGGCAUGACUACAUGGAAACAAAAAUUUGUUAUAGAUGUGGUGAAAAUGGACAUUUUGCAGCUCCCUUCAGGAAUACCAGACUAAAGUGAUCCAGAGACUUAUUAGCUCCCUAAAGAGAAGGGAUCCAGCAGAAAAGCCAGAAAAUGACAGGGAUAAUAGCCAGGGAUAAUAGUGGUGUGUGCUCUUCAAAGAGAAGUGCAGUGAAAACAUCCACUGCUACUGGUUUGGCCAGGGGACUCACUGGCCGUACAUCACUGGUUUCUGUAGAUAAAUAGACAUUUGUAUAAUGCACUUCUGGCAGGGGUUCUAAAGUGACUAUUAUCUUUGAAGACUGGUAUAAACUGCAUUUGAGUGAUGUCCCAAUUCAACCUGUGUCAGGGUUGGCAAUAUGGGCUUAAGUGAUUCUAGAUACCCAUACAGAGACUGUGUGGUAGUGACUAUGGAAUUCCCAGCAGAUGUGACUGGGGUUCCUGAAACCAUCUCAGUAUUGGUUUUAAUCUGUCCUGGUCCUAAGAAUCCAGACCAGACACUGGUGAUUUUGGGGACUAAUGCAAGUUUGUUCAAGCUAUUAGCUUCACUGUAUGGAAAGUGAUGGAUCAGUUACACCCAGUAGACCCGAUCAGUUCUGUCCCAGAAGGGUGAAAGGACCCUAAGAAAGUACAUAUCAGUCUUUUAAACUUUGGCGACUCACUGGUUCCGGAGAUUGUGGCUAAAGUUGUCAGAAAGAGUUGAGGUUUUUUCAUUUUAUGAAAUUUGUUUUACCGACCCCAGACCCUUUCAUGAGUGUUCCCAAUGCAUAGCCCCAUCUGAUAUUGAUGAUGUCAGACAACACAUUCAAAAGCUGUUGUCAGCAGGAAUUGUGAAAGAAUCAGGAAGUCGUUAUGCAACACCAAUCGUGAUAGCCCGAAAAAUGAAUGAAAGUGUAAGAAUGUGUGUUCAUUACUGCAUGCUCAAUCAGAGAACAGUGCCAGAUCAGUACACCACUCCACAUAUUGAUGACACUUUGGACUGUUUGUCGGGUAGCAAAUGGUUUUCUGUGCUUGAUCUGAGAAGUGGCUAUUAUCAGAUAGCUAUGGCAGAUGAAGAUAAAGAGAAAACCGCCUUUAUCUGUCCAUUAGGCUUCUACCAAUUUAAGAGAAUGCCACAGGGCAUUACAGGGGCCCCCGCCACUUUCCAGCAGUUAAUGGAAAAGACCAUGGGUGAUAUGAACUUACUUCAAGUCAUGGUGUAUUUGGACAAUUUGAUUGUUUUUGGCAAGACAUUGGAAGAGCACAAAGAAUGUCUUCUCUGUGUUCUUGACUGGCUGGUUGAAGCUGGAGUAAAGAUCUCGCUAGAUAAGUGCCAAUUCUGCCAAACACAGGUGUCCUACCUUAGGCAUAUUGUCUCAGCAGAUGGAGUACCACUGAGCCAUUUGGUAAGAGGUGGGAUAAGUCUUGUUCAGAUGCUUUACAUAAGAUCAUCCACUGCCUCACCAAUGCUCCUGUUUUAGCUUUUGCCAAUCCCCAUAAGCCCCAUAUGUAGAUGCAAGUUUCAAGGGGCUUGGUGCGUUAUUGUAUCAGACCUGUAGCCUUUGCCAGUAGGAAACUUUACUCUUCUGAGCAGAACUACCCAAUCCAUCAGUUAGAAUUUUUGGCUUUAAAAUGGGCAGUUGUGGACAAAUUCUAUGACUAUCUAUAUGGAGCCAGGUGGCUUGGAUCUCUAGCAACUUAUUACUUUAAUAUCCAGUACCUUCCUGGUAGGACAAAUGUUGAUGCUGACAUGCUCUCACGAAACCAAUCAGAAGGCAAUCAUUUAGCGUAUGGGAGGAUAUCCCUCUUCCUGGAGUGAAAGCCGUAUGCCAACGUGUUGACAUUGAACCUGUAGAUGUGUCCCUGUGGUAUGCUGUUAAGUUGGAUGCACAUCCAGAUUAUGUACCAGACACUUAUGCCUGUCCAGUGCAUUUGAGUAAGGGAGACUUGGAGCCACUGACCAGGAAUGUUUUGGGGAAAGCCCAGAAGGAGGAUAUCUGGAUUGGCCCAGUCAUUAAGGCUAUUAGACAGGGCAAAUGGCCCAACGGCAAUGACCUGCCACCUGAAAUAGAGCUCAUCAGGAGAGAACAGACAAAACUGAUGUUCAAAGAAGAAUUGUUGUACAGGGUAGUCAAGAAGCCCUCUGGAACAAGCGUCACGCAACUGAUUCUGCCAUCUAAAUAUGUGCCUGUUGUAUUAAAGUCCAUGCAUGAUGAUAUGGGACAUUCAGGAAUAGAGCUUGACUGAGCUGUUGAGUGAUCACUUUUACUGGCCCAAGAUAUCCAGUAAGAUUGAGACCAGAGUCCAGCUCAGAGAGCUCCGUUGCAUCGGAUAACUAGCAGGGGCCCAUGGAUCUGGUGUGUAUUGACUUUUUGUCAGUUGAGUCAGAUACAAGAGGGAUGAAAAGCCUACUAGUGGUAGCAGAUCAUUUGACCAGAUAUGCACAAGCCUUCCCAACAAAGAAUCAGAAAGCUCUUACAGUUGCUAAAAUCCUAGUAGAAAAGUUCUUUGUGCACUAUGGGCUACCAGCAAGAAUCCACUUGGACCAGGGCUGUGACUUCGAAAGUCAAUUGAUUAGAGAGAUGCUGAAGAUUCUCCCUAUUAUCUCAUGUUUGGAAGGGAGGCCCGUCUCCCAAUUGACCUCUGUUUAGGGGUAUUAGCUGAUAAUGAUUCAGUUUCUCAUUUUCAGUAUGUAGCAAAGUUCGCUGAAGAUUUGAAAAGUACAUAUUGUUUGGAUUCAGAGACGGCCGAUAAAGCACAUCAGCGGAACAAGAGGUGCCAUGGCAAAAGAAUAAGUUUCCAAGUGCUAAAUUUGGGGGGCAGAGUGUUAAUCAAGAACUUUGUUCUGAAAGGGAAACAUAAACUUCAGAGCAGGUGGAGCCCGACUCCUUAUGUCAUUGUUGAGAAAAUGCCUAAUCUACCAGUCUAUCAUGUUAAACCAGAGGGGGCUAGAGGGUGAGUAAAGACCCUUCACCAGGAACAUCUCUUACCCAUAGGGCAGUUUGUUAGAAUGUCAGGCUUGUAGUCAGAUGAUGAGCCACCUCCAGCACCCAAGAGACAACUAAGGGCAAAAACAGAGCAGGUCAAAGAACCAGAAUUCACAAGUGAGCCAUCAAAUGAGUCAUCUAUAGAGUUGGAAAGGGGUAAGACCCAUCAAUCCUACAGAACUGAGAUGAAUGAACUGUUGAAGAGACACCCUCCCCGAGUACCCAGAACACCUUCUGUAUCUGACUGUGUGGCAGAAGUUCGGUCAGUCAGUGAAGUUGUUUCAGAGAGAAAUGAUGGUGAGGAUAAUGUAGCUUCUGAGGCAGAUUUCACAGUUGAUUCUGCUGUUAGUUCAGCUUCUAGGGUUAGUGAGACAGAUGAGCAGAAUGAAGAAUGCCUAGAGCUUGAUAGGGAGAAUCCCAUUAAACUUAUCUAUGACAAACAAGGUAAAGCAAAGGAUCAACUAUUAACCACAGUUCAUCAAUGAGCAGUAAUUAAGAUUGGAUAUAAUUAGGGCUGGUUAGAAUAAUGGCAAGGUUUCUCUGUUUUAUUUGGUUGAAAAAAAAGAGAGUGACAACCCUAAGCAACAUGGUGAAGCCACAUCCGGGAGAAUGAACGCUGGCACGUAAUGCUGCCGCUGCUUUCUGCGGGUUAUUGUUACUAUUGUUACUAUUUUCUAAGUAGUAUAGAUUGCAUUUUAAUAUCAUUAAAGUUUGGAUGAAUCAAUACAUAGUUUAACAACCACUGGACUAUUUUAACCUCAUAACAACAAACUGACGAUUUUAAGCCACUCGGUGGGUCUACCUGGACUCUGGCGUACCUGGCUCAGUGGUUUUGGCACCUGGGACUCGGCCUGGGAUUUCUCCUUCAUUCGCCACAACAAUGCUGGACGCUUACAAACUCUUAAUCUGGAUUCUACUUCUUCUCAUCUGUCACCCGGUUGCAUCUAUCCUCCAAUAUACAGCAACUGAGCUGCUCACCCUGUGCCUUCAUGCCAUGGGACCCCCACCAACGCUUCAGUGUCAUCAGGACAUCAUCUUUUACCCCCGCCAGAGAUACCGUAUCUCCACCGGUCUUCCCGACAGAAUUACAUCUAUGAUGAUUCGGGUCCAAUACGCUCCUUCUGGUCAUCAGGAUUUCGUCAGAUUAGGAAAUCGAGACGACCCGUUGACCAGACUGUGCUGGCUAACUUAGCUAGGUCGAGUAUCACCCCCAAAACGGGUAGGAGUGAUCUCUCUUUUGGCCUAUUUAAUAUUCGUUUGCUAACAAACAAAGGGCCAUUUAUUUAUGACUUAUUGAGCGACAAGAAGUUUGAUUUCUUAUGUUUAACGGAGACUUGGCAACAACAAAAUGACUUCUCUCAGCUGAAUCAGUCAGUUCCUCCCGGGUUUGUUUACUCCUGUCAGCCCCACCCCUCUGGGCGUGGUGGAGGGCUUGCUAUUCUCUACAAUGAGAAGUGGAAAGUCUCUUCAGUUAACUCGGAUUCCUUUGAAACUAUUGAGUCCAUGGUCUUGCAGAUAAAUGGACCUUGCCGUGUUAUUUUAGCUACUGUUUAUCGCCCACCGAAAGGAAGCAGUACAACUUUUUUAGCCGAGCUAUCCAUGUUUUUAACUUCACUGUGCUCCAUAUCUCCUAAUGUUAUUUGACUGGGAGACUUAAAUAUACACGUGGACAACUAUAAUGACACUCUCACCAAGGAGUUUAUAUCAUGUCUUGACAGCUUUGGAAUUCAACAGUUUGUUGAUUUUCCCACCCAUUGUAAAGGCCACAUCCUCGAUAAUAUUUGCUGCUCUGGUUUAACUUCCAUUAAUCUCAGUGCACCUGACCUUCCCAUCUCUGACCAUAAGCUAAUAUCAUUCGGUGUUAACUUAAUGGUUGAAAAAUUAACCACAGGCCGGACUAUUUCAUUUAGGAACAUUAAAAACAUGGACUUAACCUUACUUUCUAAUAGUAUUUAUAAUUAUUUCACAAACUACACCCCAGACAGCUCGGAUGAUCUGGUUUCCUACUAUAACAAUGGACUCUGCCAUGUACUUGAUACACUCACACCUAUAAAAACUUGGACUGUCUUCUUCACUCACUCUACACUCUGGUUCACUUCAGAGCUGAGACUGCUCAAAACCCAAGGACGUCAGCUUGAACGGCUAUUCCGCAAAACUGGUUUAACUGUUCACAAGAAGAUGUAGCUGGACCAUAUGUCACUGUAUAAGGACACACUCACAACAACUAAAACUGACUAUUACUCUGCAUUGAUUAGGUCAAACGAGGGCAACACUAAAUCAUUAUUCAAUUUGGCUAAUAAUGUUUUAAAACUUUGCAAUAUUAUUUUAGAUCACACAUUUUCAAAUGAUACAUGUGACAAUUUCAUGAACUAUUUUAAUGUUAAAAUUGAUCAGAUUCACCAACACUUGAUUACCCAGAAUAGCUUAGGAUGUGAUAUACCAUCUGUGAUAUCUCGUGACUCUCUUUCUUCCUCUUUCUGCUGCUUUGAGCUUCCUUCUGUCAAUGAAAUCUUUGAUAUCAUUCGCCAUUCCAAAUCUUCCACCUGCCACCUAGAUCCACUCCCCACCUUCCUGGUCAAAGCUUGUCCUAUCUAUCUACCUGUACUAUCUAAUUUAAUAACAGAUAUCAUGCACUCCUCCCUUACCUCAGGCACUGUUCUGUUACCUUUUAAAGCAGCUGUAAUAACUCCUAGGCUUAAAAAACCUGGCACAGACCCCAAAAACCCUGCCAACUUCCGUCCAAUCUCUAACCUGUCAACUCCACACUUACCUCUCUUUUUGAAGAGUUUCAGUCAGGUUUUCGCCCACCGCACAGUACAGAAACAGCUCUAGUAAAUUAAUUUACUAGAAAAAAAAAAUUAAUAGCAGCUGACCCCUAUCAGCUGUCUUUUAUCUAUACUCAUCCUACUCGAUCUCAGUGCAGCUUUCGAUACCAUCUCACACAAAAUUCUCUUAGACAGACUAAACCAAAUUGGCAUUUCAGACACCCCUCUUGCUUAGUUCACAUCCUGUCUCUCAGAACGAGGCCAAUUUGUCCAGCUAAAAAAUUUUAAAUCUUUCUCAUCUCCUGUCACCACUGCUGUCCCCCAAGGAUCUGUUUUGGGCCCUAUCCUCCUCACUAUUUACCUUCUUCCACUAGGGCACAUCUUUAGGAAAUAUGGCAUCAGUUUUCACUGCUACGCGGACGACACCCAGCUCUACCUGUCCUCCAAACCAAAUGGUCUCCUGCGCUCCUCCUCACUACAAAACUGUUUAGAAGAAAUCAAAGUCUGGCUAUCAAUCAACUUCCUUCAACUUAAUUCAGGAAAAACAGAAAUCCUUUUAGUUGGUACAAAGACCAACCUAACAAUAAAAAUAGGCAACUCUAUCAUAACCCCAUCUCACCAGGUUAAGAGUCUGGGUGUCAUCCUCGACAGUACUUUGUCAUUUAAAGCUCAUAUUAAUAUCGUUACCCGGUCUGCAUACUUUCAUCUGCGCAAUAUUAAUCGCCUUCGCCCCUUUCUCACCCCCAUCACUACAGCCACACUUGUACACACUCUUGUCACCUCACGAAUAGACUACUGUAAUUCCCUCUUAUUUGGUUUACCUUCUAAACUCCUUCAUAAACUUCAGUUGGUCCAAAACACAGCUGCCUGCAUCAUCACAAAAACUCCCUCCAUCAACCAUAUCUCUCCUAUACUUUUUCAAUUACACUGGCUCCCCGUUAAAUUCCGCAUUGAUUACAAGAUUCUCCUUCUCAACUUCAAAGUAUUACAUAACCUUGCCCCCUCAUACCUCUCAGAGCUGGUCCACGUGUACACCCCUGCUCGGUCACUCAGAUCUUCUUCAUCCUACUCACUUGCCAUUCCCUCUGUCCGCUUACGCACAAUGGGUUCCAGGUCUUUCAGCUGGGCUGCACCACACCUCUGGAAUUCCCUUCCACCGUCCAUCCGCGACAUCACCUCUCCUACGUCUUUUAAAUCUAAUCUUAAAACCUAUCUCUUUAGGAAAGCCUUCUCAGACUUCUGUUAACUGCCUUUUUGUCUUUUUGUUUUUAUUUAGAUUUUGCAUGUGUACUGUUUUCAUUUUAUCUUUGAUCCUAUUUGAUGUAAGGUGACCUUGAGUCUCAGGAAAGGCGCCUCAAAUAAAAUGUAUUAUUAUUAUUAUUAUGAGGAUCUGAUGAGGACAUCAGGGCCCAUAUUCACAAAGCUUAUUAGAAUUCUCUCAGAGAGCUCCUGUCUUAGCCUAAAAAGUCCUAGCUGGGAGUCCUAGACUAAAAGUGAUUUAGGAAAAUUCUCACAGCAACUCUGAGUAAGGAAAGUACAAAAAUCUUUAUCUUAGUGAGGAGGUGUGGUUGACCCCAUUGCUAGGGAUGAUGCAGCAAUUCAAGGACUGUGGUUGAUUAAAAAAUCUGUAAUCUGUAAAUCUGUCUCUUUGUGAAAAGAGAAUAUAUAAUAAUAGAAUGGACAGUAAAAUCAUAAUGUUUGUAUAUAAAGAAAUUGUAUAAUCAUGAAUACAGACUACUUUAUGUAAAGUUUCUGUUAUAGGCUAAAUAUCUUAAAGUCAGGGGCGUAAUUUCCACUGGGGACAGGGGGGACAGGGGGGACAUGCCCCCCCACACACACACACUUUUUACAUUUGUUUGUUAUGAUUUUUUCAUUUAAAUUCUCUCACUGAAAGGUGUAAUGAACAGGUUUCAGGUUUCACGGUUGCGGGACAGUCAGUGAUGAAACACCAGAAGCAGCAACAGAUGACUUUAAUGUCAUCAUGGAUGAAAAGAAAGAAUGGAGAUGCGAGUUUGUUGAUUCAGUAAAUUAUCUCAGGUCAGGAUAAUCAUAUUGACGAGUUGACUUUAAACCACACAUUUUCUCUCAGCAAUGUAUGACAAGCAGACUCUGGAUAGUUUAAUGUUAGACUCAAUAUGAUCAUAACUCAGUGGUUUUCAUAUCAGAGGACAGAUGAGGUGGACAGUUAGGAUACAUGGGGAGAUGGGAUUGAAUGGAUAGAUAGAGGAUAAUGUUCUUUAUAUUUUUUUUAUGUUUGUGAGAUUGUGUGCCUCUUGAGAUCUUGCAUCCUGUGUACCAAAUAAGUAGUGUAUCUAUUGUUUUAUUAAUUUUCCCAUCCUUUUGGAUUACAGAAGUAAGGAUUACAGAUGGUUAUUCCUAUCCUGCUAUAAUACAGUGUUGGAGGAAUAAAAAUGAUCUAUUUUAGGUAUUUGUGCUGCACAGAAAAUUAGCACCAGGAAUGUAAAUAUUUUAAUUUAUUCAUUAACUAAGAGUGGCUGUUUAUGCAUGAGAGACAAUUAUUAAAGUAAUAAUCAACAUUUUCAUAUAAUUGUUAUAAAAAUGAUAUAUUACAUAAUAAUUUUGCGAAAAUAGUGCUGUAACACACACACACAGUUCAUAAAAGCAGUUGUCAGUAAGCAAAUGGAAAUGUAAAAAAAUACCCUUGAGACAAAACAUGUAAGGCCAUGAGUUCUUUAGUUCAGACAGUGACGGAGGUGGAUUGGCCUUUAUAUCACGGCAUUGACGGUAAUAUUUGACCUCCAUCAACUUGUGAAGUUCUCCUCUAGUGGCACCAGACAGUCCUUCAGUAGAAUGAAGCAAUACCAUUUGCUUGCGCUUCCCUUCUAGAGUGUCAUUUUCUCCUGCAGGAAGCUCCUCUGGUUGCCAUCUGACACAACCAUACUGAUCAGCCGGCCUUCUUGAGCUCUGACUAAUGGUUCUGCAUGAUGACUGUAGUCGUUCUUUUCUCUGAAGACCUAAUGUGUUGUUUCUGUUUACAUGUUCAACACGGGUUUUAAGAGCAAAGAGGCAUACCCACUACCUAUUUUUGUUCCAUCAGCUAGAACAUCAGCAAAGCUCUCCGGGUACUGUUUAACAGUGUUGUGCAUUAAAAUCUGACACUGUGCCUUUGACGGGCUGACUUCAUGUUUUCACAUAUUAUCAACUAAAAUCAUUACUAGCUGCCUUCGAUCAGCUGGUGAUGGUCUUUUUUUAUUUGCGAUGGCCAAUUUGAUCCCAGAAGGCAUGGCUUCCCAAGGCACCUUAAAUGUGUCAAGCCCAUGCACAAGAUGCUGAAGAGCAAGCAAAAGAACAAGAUGGUGUAGAACUGGAAGAACUCUCCAAUUCUGGGCUUGAUGUAUCAGAAAGAUCUUGAUGUGAUGAGCAUUGGGAAAUCGGGCAGCUGACUUGUUCUAACACAAAUAACCAAUAUAUUAAAAAACGUGUUGAACAUGGAACAUUUAACAAUAUUUUACAAAUGUACAUUAGUAACAAAUAGUAUUAAGUGUUCUGUCUACUUGAAAAAUUAAAUUAAAAUACCUUCAUUUUUCCACACAUUUAGUAGUUUGUAACAUUGGACAGGCCUGAGGUAUUCCAUGAGGUCAUCUUUUACAUAGUGGAGGUCAGCUUUUGUUUCAACACCAAUAGCAGUAAGCCUAUGGAUCAGUUUUUGAAGGGUUUCAUCAGAGAGAUCAGGUAAAGAAGAGCAGAUGGUGAGUUUUAUCUCCUCUAAACUGGACAUACCUUAAAAAGAUGGAAAAGAAUGGUGUAACACAAUCAUAGACAAGCCACAUGUUUUGUACUCCUGGAGAGGGUAAUAAUCUAAUAGCUCCUCUUGAAGUACACAGACAUAUCUUGGGUCCUCAUCUGCUAUGCAGUAUACACCCAAAUCCACCAACUGCACAGCAAACCGUUUCUCAGACACCAAGUAGACCACUGAAUUCUGGUGAACAAGUAGUUUAGUUUAAUUAGUUUAAUUCUGCCAACCUCCAAACCCUCAUCAUUACUGGCCAAAAGCACAACCAUGCCUUUCCUGUACUUUGUUCCUUUCAAAGUGAUUUCAGUGGCUACUAAUGUAUUGCCUGACUGAAAAUCUAAAUGAUCAAUUGAUUCCCUGAUUGCUUCAUUAUAAUCAUCUGAAUAAAAUUCAGAUCCUCUCUCAACUUGCACAGAAAGCUGGAACAGUUUUCCAGCACUUAAGUAGGCUUGGAGAAGCUGGUGCCUUUCUGCAAGUGUUGCACAUAAGUUUUUGAAGUUGUGCAAUUUUCUAGCAUAUUGCUUGAAGUAGGUAUGCUUGCUCUCAAACCUCAUAGUCCAUAAGCAAAUGAGUGGUCCAAAUUGUUGCACAAUAAUUGCACAAGUAAUGAUGUUUAGGCUUGAGAGGCUUAGAAGGGAAAGUCACACACCUGAAAUGAAUGUACUCCUCAAUGAGCACUUUCAAAUAAGUGACCUGAUCUGCCAUUAUUGCUGGUGCACAAAUUAGGUCCACAACUUGUCAGAGAAGUAGAACAAGCUGCCACACUUCUGAUUCUGGAUCCUUAAUCCGGUGUCCAACAAUAACUGGUAAAAUUCUUAGAAGAUACCAGUUUUGCACAGCGUGACCACAAAGUCUCUCACUCCCUGGGUAAAUCUCAGCUGGUUUAUUGGCAGCAUCAUUUCCUGUGUACUCAAACUGCUUAAUAUAACGAUUAAGCUCUGAAAGUAAAGCAUUUUUCUUGAUUUACCAAGUUAUCUAUGUACAGCUUAAGAUCAGAUGCCACAACCCCCUCAAAGAGGUCAUGGCCAAGGCAAGGGGGCAAGCCUGGCUGACAAACAUGAAAAGAAUUCAGCUGAUUGAAAGGAGAGUUAAAUUUGAUUCCAUCAACUACAUUAUCACCACUGGCUGCAAGUUCCUGAAUGUUUCUCUCAUAAGACUCCACUGUUCACUUCAUAGCAGGUUUCAAAGGUGUGGCAUGAAAUGUGUCUCUGUCAGUGGUGCAAUACCUGCAGAAAUGUAGGCUACGGCUAAAGUUCUCAACAAAACCACCAGUGGUGUGGGAUCCCAGGUUGUCACCUACAAUGGAACACAAAGAAGCUUUCAAAGUUUUGCCAUCAUUCACAAUGACACCAUUCUCUUCAAGAUCUUUGAGAUCUUCAAUUAGUGAUCUAAUUAGUUUGACCUGUUAUGAGGAAAAAUAUCAGACAAGGUAAGAUAAACUGCCAGCAAUUUGUGUUUCUUUCUGGCUGGGCCCAAAGGUGUCACAUAACGGGGGUUACUGUAGCAUACGGGGGGGGGGUGGUUAAUGUAUUAGUUACUGUAGUUAACUAAUAGCUUGGCAGUCAAGUGAACCACUAAUGUUACUGAUUCGCAUAAAACACAAUUUAAUUUUACUAAUUUAAUUGCAAUGUUUAAAAGUUUAACUUACAUAACUACUACCAACAAUCCAAAACAAUUUUAUACCAAACGGUUAUCGAAAAUGUAAUGGUAAUAUGACAGACCAGUCACACUUUCAUAUUGAAGAAAAUAUGAGGUUAGUUACCAAGCUAAUGUUAAUCGUAACUUUGGACUCAACAAGCAAAUUCCGUAGCAUAAAUUUGAACAGAUUUUCAUCCCUUUUGAAACGUCACAAAAUAAAUAUAACAGUGAUAUAUCUUAAUGGCUGGUAAAAGAAUUAUUGGACACCAGGAUUUCACGUUUUAACUGAAGCAUGAAUUACUGGCUGCACUCACCUCCCCUCACUCUCACUCAUUGUGGUCCUCCUCUCACGCCUCAUGUGAGUUGAGCGCGAAAAUUGAAGAGUGCGAGAAGUCCCAAAAUGUCCGCUUCUGAUGACGAAAUGAUGUCACAUGCACUGUGCUACGUUGUUGUGUAGGAAUUGUUUUUUAAAGAAAACAAUUAAACAUGAAAACUAAUAGAUGUGUACAUUAUAUAAUAAUGUCGAAGUCAACAUGGUUUAAAUAAUUCGUUAAAAAGGAUGUAUUGAUUACAGCUGACUGAGUACCAAAAUUGGAUUUCAAAUUGGACUUGUGCAACAUUAUUUUUUCUUCUUUGUAAAAUAAAUAAAAAUAUAACAAUUGUAUACAUAAUGUCCUGUAGCAUUUACUGCAAUAAUUUUUCCAGAAUCCAGAGGAAAAUGCAAUAACAUUACAUUUACAUAAUCUACAUUUAAAAACAUGCACAGUAUCUUAUUGUACUGUAAAAUUUACAGCAAUUAUUUAGCAUGUUCCCACAAUUCAUAGCAAAAUACAGCAAUACUGUAAAUUUCAAAAUACAGUAGUCUACUGUAAAUAUUUACUGUAAAAAUUACAGCAAUUUUUUACAGUGUACUUUUAGCUGAGUUAGUUGAAGAAAAUAAAGCAAUUUUAAAAGGUAAAUUUGGCUCUGGUGUCAUAGCUCUAGGAAAGAGGCAGACCUGGGAGAAAAUAUCUCAGUAGAUAAACUCCUCAUUCCCUCUGGUUGUGCGCACCAGCGAGGAAUGUGAAAAGCGGUGGUGUUGCAGUCUCAAACAAGGAGGGAGAUCGCAGCACACAAACAGGAUUCUGCAAGCACAGGUGGUGGACCACCCACUAAACAACUGCCUCAGGAAGCAGAAACUGUAUUCAAUGUACUUGGGCUGAGGAAAUAUCUGUCACUGGGCUGAAGGAAGGCACAGACAGCUCAAUGAUCCUGCUAAUGGGAAUACAACAAAGUUUCUGCAGCAUGGAGCCGUCAGAGGAACCGGGACCGUCAAUGUCGCAGGUGUGCGACCCUCAGCCUCAGCCAGUGUAUCAGAUAAGCCUUCCUGCUGCAGCCACCCCAACACCUGUUGCUGAUACUCUGCUUGCCCCAUGUUUUUCUCUGUAUUUGGAUUAUUGGACUUUAUUCAGUUGCUGACUCUGCCUGCCCCGUGUUUUCCUGUUCUCUGGAUUUGGAUUAUUGGACUUUAUUCUGUUACUGACUCUGCCUGCCCCGUGUUUUCACGUUCUCUGGAUUUGGAUUAUUGCUCUGUGUGCUGUUGCUGACUCUGCCUGCAUUGUAUUUAACCUGCUCACCAUUUUGGAUUAUUGGACUGUUUUUCUGUUGCUGAUUCAGCCAGCCUGCUUAACCCUGGUUGUCAGUUGUUCUUUGGGUGUUGUCUGAGAACUCUGCCAUUUUCAGUGCCUUCCUUUAUUAAAGACUCUUAUAUUGAACUUUGACUGUGUUCUGCAUUUGGGUCCUCACCUGCCUUCCCUGACAUUUAUAACAGCAGUU
This is a long non-coding RNA of Hemibagrus wyckioides, 17759 nucleotides long. RefSeq lists it as uncharacterized. NCBI's taxonomy places the organism in Eukaryota, Metazoa, Chordata, Actinopteri, Siluriformes, Bagridae. The transcript is spliced from 3 exons. The record is from RefSeq and is a predicted model, not a curated record.